This 730-nucleotide ribosomal RNA is filed under the name uncultured fungus. Its description in RNAcentral is "partial small subunit ribosomal RNA". The record is from RNAcentral. Lineage: Eukaryota; Fungi.
CAUCCGAUCCCUAGUCGGCAUAGUUUAUGGUUAAGACUACGACGGUAUCUGAUCGUCUUCGAUCCCCUAACUUUCGUUCUUGAUUAAUGAAAACAUCCUUGGCAAAUGCUUUCGCAGUAGUUAGUCUUCAAUAAAUCCAAGAAUUUCACCUCUGACAAUUGAAUACUAAUGCCCCCAACUAUCCCUAUUAAUCAUUACGUCAAUCCUAGAAACCAACAAAAUAAGAUCGAACGUCCUAUUUCAUUAUUCCAUGCUAAUGUAUUCAAGCGUUAGCUUGCUUUAAACACUCUAAUUUUUUCAAAGUAACAGUCCAAAUUCCCCGCAACACCAAAUUAAUGGCAUUACGGUUCAUAAGGAAGGAGGAAUCAGUGAGACCAGUACAUACCAGAGGCAUGACCAACCUACUAACCCCGAAAUUCAACUACGAGCUUUUUAACUGCAACAACUUUAAUAUACGCUAUUGGAGCUGGAAUUACCGCGGCUGCUGGCACCAGACUUGCCCUCCAAUUGUUCCUCGUUAAGAGAUUUAAAUUGUACUCAUUCCAAUUACGAGAUCCUAAAGAACCCCGUAUUGUUAUUUAUUGUCACUACCUCCCCGUGUCGGGAUUGGGUAAUUUGCGCGCCUGCUGCCAUCCUUGGAUGUGGUAGCCGUUUCUCAGGCUCCCUCUCCGGUGUCGUGCCCUAACACCCCGUUACCCGUUACCACCAUGGUAGGCCUCUAUCCUACCAU